GAAGUCGUAACAAGGUUUCCGUAGGUGAACCUGCGGAAGGAUCAUUCGC
This 49-nucleotide ribosomal RNA is filed under the name Symbiodinium sp. PmBA2. RNAcentral describes it as "partial 18S ribosomal RNA". It matches the Rfam family "Eukaryotic small subunit ribosomal RNA", at positions 1785 to 1831 of the family's 1831-position model. The record is from RNAcentral. Lineage: Eukaryota; Dinophyceae; Suessiales; Symbiodiniaceae.